Molecule: ribosomal RNA, 1495 nt
Filed under: uncultured bacterium
Lineage: Bacteria
Description: bacterial SSU rRNA
Rfam family: Bacterial small subunit ribosomal RNA
Source: RNAcentral
AGUUUGAUCCUGGCUCAGAUUGAACGCUGGCGGCAUGCUUUACACAUGCAAGUCGAACGGCAGCACAGGGAGCUUGCUCCCGGGUGGCGAGUGGCGCACGGGUGAGUAAUACAUCGGAACGUGUCCUGUUGUGGGGGAUAACUGCUCGAAAGGGUGGCUAAUACCGCAUGAGACCUGAGGGUGAAAGCGGGGGAUCGCAAGACCUCGCGCAAUUGGAGCGGCCGAUGCCCGAUUAGCUAGUUGGUGAGGUAAAGGCUCACCAAGGCGACGAUCGGUAGCUGGUCUGAGAGGACGACCAGCCACACUGGGACUGAGACACGGCCCAGACUCCUACGGGAGGCAGCAGUGGGGAAUUUUGGACAAUGGGGGCAACCCUGAUCCAGCCAUGCCGCGUGCAGGAUGAAGGCCUUCGGGUUGUAAACUGCUUUUAUCAGGGACGAAAAGGACCGUGUUAAUACCAUGGUCUGCUGACGGUACCUGAAGAAUAAGCACCGGCUAACUACGUGCCAGCAGCCGCGGUUAUUCGGUAGGGGGCAAGCCUUAAUUGGAAUCGAUGGGGGUAAACCUGGGCAGCCGGUUUCGUAGGCAAGAGGUGAAUUCCCGGGGGUCCAACUGGGGAUUCGCAUUCGUGCCUGCCGGACUAGAGUUCAUCAGAGGGGGGGGGAAUUCCAAGUGGAGCAGUGGAUUGCGUAGUUAUUUAGAAGAACACCAACGGCGAAGGCAGUCCCCUGGGAUGCGACUGACGCUCAUGCACCAGAGCGUGGGGAGCAAACAGGAUUAGAUACCCUGAUAGUCCCCGCGCUAAAAGAUGUCUAUAGGUUGUUGGGGUUUUUUAACCCCGGUAACGAAGCUAACGCGUGAAGUAGACCGCCUGGGGAGUACGGUCGCAAGAUUAAAACUCAAAGGAAUUGACGGGGACCCGCACAAGCGGUGGAUGAUGUGGAUUAAUUGGAUGCAACGCGAAAAACCUUACCUAGCCUUGACUCGCCAGGAAUCCUGAAGAGCUUCGGGAGUGCCCGCAAGGGAAUCUAGACACAGGUGUGGCAUGGCUGUCGUCAGCUCGUGUCGUGAGAGUGUUGGGUUAAGUCCCGCAACGAGCGCAACCCUUGUCUCUAGUUGCUACGCAAGAGCACUAUAGUGAGACUGCCGGUGACAAACCGGAGGAAGGAGGGGGUGGCGUCGAGUCCUCAUGGCCCUCAUGGUUAGGGCCUCACCCGUCAUACAAUUGGCGGCACAGAGGGCAGAGAACGCCGCGAGGUGGAGCAAAUCCCAGAAAACCGAUCGUAGUCCGGAUUGCAGUCUGCAACUCGACUGCAUGAAGUCGGAAUCGCUCGUCAUCGGGCAUGAGCAUGCGAGCGGUGAAUACGUUCCUCUGGGUCGUGCACCACACAUCCCUCUCAAGGGGGGAAUUUUUCGCGAUAUCUCCUCACACCUGGCGCCGCGCGCGGAGCGCGCGCUAUAGAAGAGGGCCACUCUCCCCCCCCUAUGUUUGUAU